RNAcentral lists this ribosomal RNA (1429 nucleotides) under uncultured organism. RNAcentral describes it as "SSU rRNA". It matches the Rfam family "Bacterial small subunit ribosomal RNA". The record is from RNAcentral.
GAUGAACGCUAGCGACAGGCUUAACACAUGCAAGUCGAGGGGCAGCACAGGUAGCAAUACCGGGUGGCGACCGGCGCACGGGUGAGUAACGCGUAUGCAACUUGCCUAUCAGAGGGGGAUAACCCGGCGAAAGUCGGACUAAUACCGCAUGAAGCAGGGGCCCCGCAUGGGGAUAUUUGCUAAAGAUUCAUCGCUGAUAGAUAGGCAUGCGUUCCAUUAGGCAGUUGGCGGGGUAACGGCCCACCAAACCGACGAUGGAUAGGGGUUCUGAGAGGAAGGUCCCCCACAUUGGUACUGAGACACGGACCAAACUCCUACGGGAGGCAGCAGUGAGGAAUAUUGGUCAAUGGCCGAGAGGCUGAACCAGCCAAGUCGCGUGAGGGAUGAAGGUUCUAUGGAUCGUAAACCUCUUUUAUAAGGGAAUAAAGUGCGGGACGUGUCCCGUUUUGUAUGUACCUUAUGAAUAAGGAUCGGCUAACUCCGUGCCAGCAGCCGCGGUAAUACGGAGGAUCCGAGCGUUAUCCGGAUUUAUUGGGUUUAAAGGGUGCGUAGGCGGCCUUUUAAGUCAGCGGUGAAAGUCUGUGGCUCAACCAUAGAAUUGCCGUUGAAACUGGGGGGCUGGAGUAUGUUUGAGGCAGGCGGAAUGCGUGGUGUAGCGGUGAAAUGCAUAGAUAUCACGCAGAACCCCGAUUGCGAAGGCAGCCUGCCAAGCCAUUACUGACGCUGAUGCACGAAAGCGUGGGGAUCAAACAGGAUUAGAUACCCUGGUAGUCCACGCAGUAAACGAUGAUCACUAGCUGUUUGCGAUACACUGUAAGCGGCACAGCGAAAGCGUUAAGUGAUCCACCUGGGGAGUACGCCGGCAACGGUGAAACUCAAAGGAAUUGACGGGGGCCCGCACAAGCGGAGGAACAUGUGGUUUAAUUCGAUGAUACGCGAGGAACCUUACCCGGGUUUGAACGCAUUCGGACCGAGGUGGAAACACCUUUUCUAGCAAUAGCCGUUUGCGAGGUGCUGCAUGGUUGUCGUCAGCUCGUGCCGUGAGGUGUCGGCUUAAGUGCCAUAACGAGCGCAACCCUUGCCACUAGUUACUAACAGGUAAAGCUGAGGACUCUGGUGGGACUGCCAGCGUAAGCUGCGAGGAAGGCGGGGAUGACGUCAAAUCAGCACGGCCCUUACAUCCGGGGCGACACACGUGUUACAAUGGCGUGGACAAAGGGAAGCCACCUGGCGACAGGGAGCGAAUCCCCAAACCACGUCUCAGUUCGGAUCGGAGUCUGCAACCCGACUCCGUGAAGCUGGAUUCGCUAGUAAUCGCGCAUCAGCCAUGGCGCGGUGAAUACGUUCCCGGGCCUUGUACACACCGCCCGUCAAGCCAUGGGAGCCGGGGGUACCUGAAGUCCGUAACCGCGAGGAUCGGCCUAGGGUA